This 420-nucleotide ribosomal RNA is filed under the name bacterium. Its description in RNAcentral is "partial 16S ribosomal RNA". It matches the Rfam family "Bacterial small subunit ribosomal RNA", at positions 355 to 776 of the family's 1533-position model. The record is from RNAcentral.
UGGGGGAUAUUGCACAAUGGGCGAAAGCCUGAUGCAGCGACGCCGCGUGGGGGAUGAAGGCUUUCGGUUUGUAAACCUCUUUCGCUAUCGAACAAGGCCCGCUUAGGGUGGGUUGAGGGUAGGUGGAGAAGAAGCGCCGGCUAACUACGUGCCAGCAGCCGCGGUAAUACGUAGGGCGCGAGCGUUGUCCGGAAUUAUUGGGCGUAAAGGGCUUGUAGGCGGCUUGUUGCGCCUGCUGUGAAAACGCGGGGCUUAACUUCGCGCGUGCAGUGGGUACGGGCAGGCUUGAGUGUGGUAGGGGUGACUGGAAUUCCAGGUGUAGCGGUGGAAUGCGCAGAUAUCUGGAGGAACACCGAUGGCGAAGGCAGGUCACUGGGCCAUUACUGACGCUGAGGAGCGAAAGCAUGGGUAGCGAACAGG